CCUACGGGUGGCAGCAGUAGGGAAUAUUGCGCAAUGGGGGAAACCCUGAUGCAGCGACGCCGCGUGAGUGAUGAAGUAUUUCGGUAUGUAAAGCUCUAUCAGCAGGGAAGAUACUGAACGUACCUGACUAAGAAGCCCCGGCUAAAUACGUGCCAGCCGCCGCGGUAAUUAGGAGGGAGCCAGCGUUAUCCGGAUUUACUGGGUGUAAAGGGAGCGCAGACGGCAGGGCAAGUCUGAUGUGAAAGUCCGGGGCUCAACCCCCGGACGGCAUUGGAAACUGGCCGGCUAGAGUGCAGGAGAGGUAAGUGGAAUUCCUAGUGUAGCGGUGAAAUGCGUAGAUAUUAGGAGGAACACCAGUGGCGAAGGCGGCUUACUGGACUGUAACUGACGUUGAGGCUCGAAAGCGGGGGUAGCAAACAGGAUUAGAUGCCCGGGUAGUC
This 440-nucleotide ribosomal RNA is filed under the name uncultured bacterium. Its description in RNAcentral is "partial 16S ribosomal RNA". It matches the Rfam family "Bacterial small subunit ribosomal RNA", at positions 338 to 795 of the family's 1533-position model. The record is from RNAcentral.